Molecule: unclassified non-coding RNA, 689 nt
Filed under: Hevea brasiliensis (rubber tree)
Lineage: Eukaryota; Viridiplantae; Streptophyta; Magnoliopsida; Malpighiales; Euphorbiaceae
Source: RNAcentral
CAAAUAAGCUGGGGGAGGAGGGGCACUCUACAUCAUUUCGGAAAUCAAAAAAGAUAGGAAACAAGGUUUUCCAGCUUCUAUACCACUGUUCCAAAGGUUGGUUUGCAUACUAAAUUAUGAUCUAAUCUACGUUGUGAAAGCCUGGAAGAAGAGAAGUGAUGAAACCAAAGACAAUCAUUUGAAUCUCCUUGACAAUUCCCCACCAGUGGUUGCCACCGUCUCCGCCACCAGGUUCUGCUACAUUCUCGUUCUCUACAGCCUGGUUACCAUCCUCUGCUGGUCGAUUUUCAUUAUCAGCCCCAGCUUGACCCUCUGCUAAACCAACAUUCUCAUUCUGCCUUGCAGCAACAGCAGCAUUUUCAGCCCUUGCAACUGGCCUGGGAGGACGGGGAGGUUGGGCUGCUCUUCUCAUGCUUUGUGAGAGCCAUUGUACUAAUGGUGUGAGAGCUCCAGUUUGAUACAAAUAGACAAGUGAAGCAAAGAACACAAGCACAACAAGUCUUGUUCUUGAUCCAUCUUGGUUGAACAAAAAGAUUACAGCUGCCAGCUUAAGUAUUAAUAACAAAUCAAGCUGAAAUGCAAUUUGAAAUCUCCUCACAACAACUUGUCUUUGGGGUGCAGCCUGCUGCUGUUGUGGCUGCUGUCCCCCUUGCCCCUGAUCAUUGGCUGCCCCAGUAUCAGGACCUGAC